UUUAACGUGAUUGACCGAGGUCGCUGCCAGCCGCAAGGCUCAGCGUGAAAAGGGAAGCAGGUGCGUCUAUGACAAUGCCUGCGCUGCCCCCGCAACGGUAACCGACAGGGCUGCGCUUUCGAGCACAGCACAACGUUUUUCGACAACCACUGGGCGUGCCCGGGAAGGUGAAAAACGCAGUCGGCAGCCCGGAGACCUGCCUCGUUGCAAUUUUUGAC
This 218-nucleotide non-coding RNA is filed under the name Pseudomonas sp. Lineage: Bacteria; Pseudomonadati; Pseudomonadota; Gammaproteobacteria; Pseudomonadales; Pseudomonadaceae. RNAcentral also lists the same sequence under 1 other name. The record is from RNAcentral.